This 678-nucleotide ribosomal RNA is filed under the name Craniospermum mongolicum. Its description in RNAcentral is "eukaryotic LSU rRNA". The stretch from base 294 to 449 matches the Rfam family "5.8S ribosomal RNA". The record is from RNAcentral. Lineage: Eukaryota; Viridiplantae; Streptophyta; Magnoliopsida; Boraginales; Boraginaceae.
UGGAAGUAAAAAGUCGUAACAAGGUUUCCGUAGGUGAACCUGCGGAAGGAUCAUUGUCGAAUCCUGCAUAGCAGUACCACUAGCGAACUAGUUCACAAACUCAGGACCUAAUCUAGCGUAGGGGAAAUCCCAACGCUUGAUUUUGUUCCUAACGGUGCUCGGGCAUUUUGUCCUUGUGCCUAACAAACCCCCGGCGCGAGAAGCGCCAAGGAAUACUCUAACAAGGGCUAGAUCCAUCCUCUCCCGUCCGCGGGGCCUAGGGGAUUGGAGACAGCUUCUUACUAAACUGAAACGACUCUCGGCAACGGAUAUCUCGGCUCUCGCAUCGAUGAAGAACGUAGCGAAAUGCGAUACUUGGUGUGAAUUGCAGAAUCCCGUGAACCAUCGAGUCUUUGAACGCAAGUUGCGCCUGAAGCCAUUAGGCUAAGGGCACGUCUGCCUGGGCGUCACGCAUCGCGUCACCCCUCCACCAAUUCCGGUGGAUGGGGUGGAAUGUGACCUCCUGUGCCUAGCGGUGCAGUUGGUCGAAAUUUGAGUCCGGAGCUUUGACGUCACGGCAAGUGGUGGUUGGAUAACAACUCUCGUGCUGUCGUGUGCCAAACCUCUUGUGGCUGAAAAGACCCUAAUGCGCUUGUCAUCCUCCUCUUAUGGGGUGGAUUUCAUGUGCUACGACCGCGA